GACGGAGGGUGCUAGCGUUGUUCGGAAUGACUGGGCGUAAAGGGCGCGUAGGCGGCUUUUCAAGUCGGGUGUGAAAGCCCGGGGCUCAACCCCGGAACGGCAUCCGAUACUGGGAGGCUUGAGACCGGGAGAGGAGGGUGGAAUAUCCAGUGUAGAGGUGAAAUUCGUAGAUAUUCGGAAGAACACCAGUGGCGAAGGCGACUUACUGGACACAUAUUGACGCUGAGGUGCGAAAGCGUGGGGAGCAAACAGG
RNAcentral lists this ribosomal RNA (253 nucleotides) under uncultured bacterium. RNAcentral describes it as "partial 16S ribosomal RNA". It matches the Rfam family "Bacterial small subunit ribosomal RNA", at positions 524 to 776 of the family's 1533-position model. The record is from RNAcentral.